Molecule: ribosomal RNA, 158 nt
Filed under: uncultured fungus
Lineage: Eukaryota; Fungi
Description: 5.8S ribosomal RNA
Rfam family: 5.8S ribosomal RNA
About the family: 5.8S ribosomal RNA (5.8S rRNA) is a component of the large subunit of the eukaryotic ribosome.
Source: RNAcentral
AAACUUUCAACAACGGAUCUCUUGGUUCUGGCAUCGAUGAAGAACGCAGCGAAAUGCGAUAAGUAAUGUGAAUUGCAGAAUUCAGUGAAUCAUCGAAUCUUUGAACGCACAUUGCGCCCGCCGGUAAUCUGGCGGGCAUGCCUGUUCGAGCGUCAUUU